GAUGAACGCUGGCGGCGUGCCUAAUACAUGCAAGUCGAGCGAACAGACGAGGAGCUUGCUCCUCUGACGUUAGCGGCGGACGGGUGAGUAACACGUGGAUAACCUACCUAUAAGACUGGGAUAACUUCGGGAAACCGGAGCUAAUACCGUAUAAUAUAUUGAACCGCAUGGUUCAAUAGUGAAAGACGGUUUUGCUGUCACUUAUAGAUGGAUCCGCGCCGCAUUAGCUAGUUGGUAAGGUAACGGCUUACCAAGGCAACGAUGCGUAGCCGACCUGAGAGGGUGAUCGGCCACACUGGAACUGACACACGGUCCAGACUCCUACGGGAGGCAGCAGUCGGGAAUCUUCCGCAAUGGGCGAAAGCCUGACGGAGCAACGCCGCGUGAGUGAUGAAGGUCUUCGGAUCGUAAAGCUCUGUUAUUAGGGAAGAACAAAUGUGUAAGUAACUAUGCACGUAUUGACGGUACCUAAUCAGAAAGCCACGGCUAACUACGUG
RNAcentral lists this ribosomal RNA (497 nucleotides) under uncultured bacterium. RNAcentral's name for it is "partial 16S ribosomal RNA". It matches the Rfam family "Bacterial small subunit ribosomal RNA", at positions 28 to 507 of the family's 1533-position model. The record is from RNAcentral.